Molecule: non-coding RNA, 546 nt
Organism: Cyanistes caeruleus (blue tit)
Lineage: Eukaryota; Metazoa; Chordata; Aves; Passeriformes; Paridae
Source: RefSeq, a predicted model, not a curated record
UGUGACCUUUGACAACCCUCCUGGUGGUGGGAAGAAUAGAGCAUCUGGAUGCCAGGAAGAUAAGAAGGUUGGGAAGGCAGCUGGGUCUGCAAGAAAAAGCAAGCAAACUCCAUUCUGUGAGGAUAAGAAACUCAAGUAAAGGACUGGAAGAAACACCACAUGGAGAACUUAUCAUAUAAUGCAUUGACAGAAUGGCUGGGUCUUGUGGCAAUGGAGUUGCUGUUGAGCAGAAGCAAGACAAUGAACAGAUUUUCAAACUAUUUAAACCUCACAUCAAAACAAAGUAGUCUUCACACAAGAAGUCUUCACUGGCAAAUGUAGUCUACACAAUUGAGGUUCACUCCUAAGAGAGAUCCUGCAUUACACAUGCACACAGCUUGAGCUAUAUAACCUUUUCCAUGACCAGCUUCUGCAGCCCUGUCUGGAUGCUUUCUAUGUAGGUACCAAGUCCUCAGAUUCACAAGCAACUGCCAGCUUUUCAUGCCAAUAUUCACAAUUCCAAUUAAACUCUCGGUUGUUUGUCACAAUAUACAUUUCUCAUUUAGA